GUGGGGAAUCUUGCGCAAUGGGCGAAAGCCUGACGCAGCCAUGCCGCGUGAAUGAUGAAGGUCUUAGGAUUGUAAAAUUCUUUCACCGGGGACGAUAAUGACGGUACCCGGAGAAGAAGCCCCGGCUAACUUCGUGCCAGCAGCCGCGGUAAUACGAAGGGGGCUAGCGUUGCUCGGAAUUACUGGGCGUAAAGGGCGCGUAGGCGGAUCGUUAAGUCAGGGGUGAAAUCCCAGAGCUCAACUCUGGAACUGCCCUUGAUACUGGCGAGCUUGAGUGUGAGAGAGGUAUGUGGAACUCCGAGUGUAGAGGUGAAAUUCGUAGAUAUUCGGAAGAACACCAGUGGCGAAGGCGACAUACUGGCUCAUUACUGACGCUGAGGCGCGAAAGCGUGGGGAGCAAACAGGAUUAGAAACCCUGGUAGUCC
This 425-nucleotide ribosomal RNA is filed under the name uncultured bacterium. Its description in RNAcentral is "partial 16S ribosomal RNA". It matches the Rfam family "Bacterial small subunit ribosomal RNA", at positions 354 to 796 of the family's 1533-position model. The record is from RNAcentral.